This 131-nucleotide small nucleolar RNA is filed under the name Castor canadensis (American beaver). The record is from RNAcentral. Lineage: Eukaryota; Metazoa; Chordata; Mammalia; Rodentia; Castoridae.
UUCCAAAGUGCUGAGUUCUGUUCAGGGAAGUUCCCCCAUUCUGUUAGUUACACUUUGGGACAUUGAAAUUGGCUUGGGGAGAUGAUUAGAUAGAUAUAUUAUUCUAUUCACUCACCUUGGAGUCUACACUA